AUUGAACGCUGGCGGCAGGCCUAACACAUGCAAGUCGAACGGUAACAGGAAACAGCUUGCUGUUUCGCUGACGAGUGGCGGACGGGUGAGUAAUGUCUGGGAAACUGCCUGAUGGAGGGGGAUAACUACUGGAAACGGUAGCUAAUACCGCAUAACGUCGCAAGACCAAAGAGGGGGACCUUCGUGCCUCUUGCCAUCGGAUGUGCCCAGAUGGGAUUAGCUAGUAGGUGGGGUAACGGCUCACCUAGGCGACGAUCCCUAGCUGGUCUGAGAGGAUGACCAGCCACACUGGAACUGAGACACGGUCCAGACUCCUACGGGAGGCAGCAGUGGGGAAUAUUGCACAAUGGGCGCAAGCCUGAUGCAGCCAUGCCGCGUGUAUGAAGAAGGCCUUCGGGUUGUAAAGUACUUUCAGCGGGGAGGAAGGGAGUAAAGUUAAUACCUUUACUCAUUGACGUUACCCGCAGAAGAAGCACCGGCUAACUCCGUG
This 490-nucleotide ribosomal RNA is filed under the name uncultured bacterium. Its description in RNAcentral is "partial 16S ribosomal RNA". It matches the Rfam family "Bacterial small subunit ribosomal RNA", at positions 30 to 507 of the family's 1533-position model. The record is from RNAcentral.